Molecule: ribosomal RNA, 1346 nt
Filed under: uncultured bacterium
Lineage: Bacteria
Description: bacterial SSU rRNA
Rfam family: Bacterial small subunit ribosomal RNA
Source: RNAcentral
GACGAACGCUGGCGGCGUGCUUGACACAUGCAAGUCGAACGGAAAGGCCCUGCUUUUGUGGGGUGCUCGAGUGGCGAACGGGUGAGUAACACGUGAGUAACCUGCCCUUGACUUUGGGAUAACUUCAGGAAACUGGGGCUAAUACCGGAUAGGAGCUCCUGCUGCAUGGUGGGGGUUGGAAAGUUUCGGCGGUUGGGGAUGGACUCGCGGCUUAUCAGCUUGUUGGUGGGGUAGUGGCUUACCAAGGCUUUGACGGGUAGCCGGCCUGAGAGGGUGACCGGCCACAUUGGGACUGAGAUACGGCCCAGACUCCUACGGGAGGCAGCAGUGGGGAAUAUUGCACAAUGGGCGGAAGCCUGAUGCAGCAACGCCGCGUGCGGGAUGACGGCCUUCGGGUUGUAAACCGCUUUCGCCUGUGACGAAGCGUGAGUGACGGUAAUGGGUAAAGAAGCACCGGCUAACUACGUGCCAGCAGCCGCGGUGAUACGUAGGGUGCGAGCGUUGUCCGGAUUUAUUGGGCGUAAAGGGCUCGUAGGUGGUUGAUCGCGUCGGAAGUGUAAUCUUGGGGCUUAACCCUGAGCGUGCUUUCGAUACGGGUUGACUUGAGGAAGGUAGGGGAGAAUGGAAUUCCUGGUGGAGCGGUGGAAUGCGCAGAUAUCAGGAGGAACACCAGUGGCGAAGGCGGUUCUCUGGGCCUUUCCUGACGCUGAGGAGCGAAGGCGUGGGGAGCGAACAGGCUUAGAUACCCUGGUAGUCCACGCUGUAAACGGUGGGUACUAGGUGUGGGGUCCAUUCCACGGGUUCCGUGCCGUAGCUAACGCUUUAAGUACCCCGCCUGGGGAGUACGGCCGCAAGGCUAAAACUCAAAGGAAUUGACGGGGCCCCGCACAAGCGGCGGAGCAUGCGGAUUAAUUCGAUGCAACGCGUAGAACCUUACCUGGGUUUGACAUGGAUCGGGAGCGCUCAGAGAUGGGUGUGCCUCUUUUGGGGUCGGUUCACAGGUGGUGCAUGGCUGUCGUCAGCUCGUGUCGUGAGAUGUUGGGUUAAGUCCCGCAACGAGCGCAACCCUUGUUCACUGUUGCCAGCACGUUAUGGUGGGGACUCAGUGGAGACCGCCGGGGUCAACUCGGAGGAAGGUGGGGAUGACGUCAAGUCAUCAUGCCCCUUAUGUCCAGGGCUUCACGCAUGCUACAAUGGCUGGUACAGAGAGUGGCGAGCCUGUGAGGGUGAGCGAAUCUCGGAAAGCCGGUCUCAGUUCGGAUUGGGGUCUGCAACUCGACCUCAUGAAGUCGGAGUCGCUAGUAAUCGCAGAUCAGCAACGCUGCGGUGAAUACGUUCCCGGGGCU